Molecule: unclassified non-coding RNA, 824 nt
Filed under: Hevea brasiliensis (rubber tree)
Lineage: Eukaryota; Viridiplantae; Streptophyta; Magnoliopsida; Malpighiales; Euphorbiaceae
Source: RNAcentral
GCGUGAUUGAAGGAAACAAGUAUUACAUCACAUUUAAAUACACUGUCAAUAAUUAUUCAAUACACAGAAUAGAAGCAGAAAAAAAACUUGAGGAGUGAGAAGCACUUAAAAUUUUACAAAUUUUCUAACAUAAUUUCAUCUGAUGAAGUUGUUUGGUGAAGCCAAAUCAUAUUCAUACUACUGGCACUGUCCUACUCGAAGAGGUUUCUGGUGCUUCAUCCUCGUUUUCUCCUGUAAGCUCUUCCAGGGACUUUCCUUUCGAUUCUGGCACCAAUAAUGUGAACAAGAUUCCAAAGAAGUUGAUCACACCAAGCACGAUAAGCGAAUUUUUCACUCCAAUGCCAGUUGGGUAGCCAGCAUCAGUCUUUGCAGGGUCUGUGGGCUGUGCAGCAUAGAGGAACCCAAAUGCACCGACAAUAGCCCCAGCCUUUCCACAAGCUGCAGAUAUUCCAUGGCAAGUUGACCUUAGCCUUGCAGGGAAAAUCUCUGCUGGAAAAACGAAUGUGGUGGCAUUUGGUCCAAAAUUGGCGAAGAAAAAUGUCAACGAGUACAUGAUCAGGAACCCAAUCCUGUUCUCCUUCAAAGUCCAGUGAUGAUAAGGUAUUGCCAGAGCAAACAUAAAUACAGUCAUGAAGAAAAAACCCAUCACUUGGAUGAAAAACCUCCCUAUACGAUCAAUGAGAGCCACUGUGAACCAAUAUCCAGGAACUGUGCCACAUAGGGCAAUAAGUGUUUGUGCUCUGGCAACCACAUAUACUUCAUGAAUUGCAUUCAUGGUCUUUGCAGCUGGAAUCCAACCGAUUGCGCUAAAGAUAUCCUUCUGG